AGCUUGCAAAUCAUAAAGAGGUUGGCAUAAUUUUUUUUGAUUGUGGCGAUCAACUAAAACCAUGAGCUCAACUACCCUACCAAAUGGGAUUGUAGUCAUGACUGUAGUCUAUCCGCAGAAUGGUGCUGGAACUCGCACAGGGAAACCAGAACCCAACAUUCCCAAUGAAAUUGAAAAUCUAAACAUUCCCAAAGAAGUCACAGAUCCCAAAAAUCCUGGACAGGUUAUACUAUCUGCUUGGCUGCAAAACUUCAUAAAGAGCAAAUGGAAAAUCUUUGGGCCCAUAAUAGUGAUUCAGACUCCUGAGAUUCUUCAACCCAGCCAGAUUCCUCUGACGUCAUCAUAUAACAUGGAUUUUCAGCAUACCCCUCCUUACAGCUCUGAUACGAGCGUAUCAAAUGAGAUUGCAAGUCCUGAUAACACUUCAGAGAACAAUACACGUUUCCUGACUACAUCAUCUCAUUUGUUGUCACAAGAUAACUAUGUCCCUGUCUUAGAUGUUGGAGCACCACUUCAAAAUUAAGAGUUGUGUUCUUACAAAAUCAGCAGCAUGGAACUGGCAUUUAGUCUUAUUUUUCUUAUUUCUUCAUUGAAUGUAAUCAUUAUUUCACAUAGUUUCUUUGCUUGUAAGAUGCAGCAGGAGCAAUACAUGAAUAUUUAGGCUGUGGCUUACUUAAUGAUAUUAGAUUAUAGCACAUCUUGCUGUGAUCCACUGUAGUUCUUGUGAGGCAAUUCACAAAAAAAAAAAAAAAAUCAAGGCUGUGGUAUAAUUUGUCAUGUGAGUAAGUGUUUCCCUGUGUCCAGAUGUACUCAAAAUUGGCUCUGUGGUGCCAAGGGAUAAAACUCUGGCUAUGACUGAAAUAGCCCAAGGCCAGAAUUGAUUAAUGGUCCUGCCACUGGAGAAGCUCACUGUGGAUGAGUGAGUAUUAAAAGGGAGAAUUCUACUCACCUCUCUUGGCAUGGGAAGGGAUGUACAUAUGCCCAUAGAUAAGUAUUCUAUUUGCAUUCCUAAGUAAAGACUGGAGAACCCAUAGUCUCUUGCAAAGUUGUUUGUGGGCUUACGUCAUUAAUAGUAGCAAGUACUUGUCAGGUCCUAUACCCAUUCAGUAUCAAUCCCACAUCACUACUUGGCAAACAUGGAAAAUAACUGAAGAGCUAGUAAGAAAACAUCUGCUUUCCACCAAGAAUGGUGACAUGACUCAACUCAUUCAGUCCUUACCCUGAAGGGUUGUAGGGAUCUCAGUGGGUGUCACAAAUAGGUCACCUGAGUGAUAAUGGAAAGAACUGAUUUCAAGUGAGGGAAUCGGGAACAAAAAUGAAGUCUGCUAUGGUAUGCCUCAUCAUAGUUAUAGCAAUAGAACUGCCCUCAGGUGAAGUUAGUCAUGGGAGAGAAAACACGAGGGAAGCUGAUUUGAAUUGUAUAUUGUGGGAGAAGGCUGCAUUGAUCUGUCAAAGCUUGAUUUGGUUUCUGUAGCUGUAUCAAUAUAGAGAUUCAUUAAUAAAGGAAUCACAGUUCA
Molecule: long non-coding RNA, 1517 nt
Organism: Protopterus annectens (West African lungfish)
Lineage: Eukaryota; Metazoa; Chordata; Ceratodontiformes; Protopteridae
Exons: 3
Source: RefSeq, a predicted model, not a curated record